UAGGGAAUCUUCCGCAAUGGGCGAAAGCCUGACGGAGCAACGCCGCGUGAGUGAUGAAGGUCUUCGGAUCGUAAAACUCUGUUAUUAGGGAAGAAUAAAUGUGUAAGUAACUAUGCACGUCUUGACGGUACUUAACCAGAAAGGGACGGCUAACUACGUGCCAGCAGCCGCGGUAAUACGUAGGUCCCGAGCGUUGUCCGGAUUUAUUGGGCGUAAAGCGAGCGCAGGCGGUUAGAAAAGUCUGAAGUGAAAGGCAGUGGCUCAACCAUUGUAGGCUUUGGAAACUGUUUAACUUGAGUGCAGAAGGGGAGAGUGGAAUUCCAUGUGUAGCGGUGAAAUGCGUAGAUAUAUGGAGGAACACCGGUGGCGAAAGCGGCUCUCUGGUCUGUAACUGACGCUGAGGCUCGAAAGCGUGGGGAGCGAACAGG
This 428-nucleotide ribosomal RNA is filed under the name Bacteroidota bacterium. Its description in RNAcentral is "Bacteroidetes bacterium partial 16S ribosomal RNA". It matches the Rfam family "Bacterial small subunit ribosomal RNA", at positions 355 to 776 of the family's 1533-position model. Lineage: Bacteria; Pseudomonadati; Bacteroidota. The record is from RNAcentral.